AAAGCUUUUAAAAAAAAAAAGAGAUCGGGAGUGUGGCGUUAUCAACUGAGAAUUCAGAAGGAUGCGAAGGACCCAACCUACGCUAAAGCCAAUUUUAUCACAGCUUAGAUGCACCAGCCGGGAAUCAAACCGUUCUGAAUCGCCGUUGAGGUCCUGAAAGAAAGAUUUGGCCGCCUCGUAAGUGGACCAACAUAUGGCUGUUGCUGAUGCAUGGAUGAACAUUCUGGGGAGGCAUAAACCCUUCAUAUUUCACAAAGGAUACGAACACAUGGCUCAAUGAAACCCUAGUGACAUGCUGCACAUGACCAGAUAAGUUAUAAGAAGAAGAAGAAGAAGAAGAAGAUCAUAGGCUAUGUCUGGCCUGGUCGAUUAGUUAGUUACACACAUCUUAAAAUCAUUUUGUUUAUAUUUAUGCCUUGAUUGUCUACUUUUGUUUUUGCUUUUACAUUGUGAGCGUGCGUGUGUGUUUUCCUUAAAUAAUCCUCCAAUGAAAUGUUCAGAUGUGGGUCAAUCAC
Molecule: RNA transcript, 515 nt
Organism: Arabidopsis thaliana (thale cress)
Lineage: Eukaryota; Viridiplantae; Streptophyta; Magnoliopsida; Brassicales; Brassicaceae
Exons: 2
Source: RefSeq